Molecule: ribosomal RNA, 301 nt
Filed under: uncultured bacterium
Lineage: Bacteria
Description: partial 16S ribosomal RNA
Rfam family: Bacterial small subunit ribosomal RNA
Source: RNAcentral
CAGUCGCCGCGGUAAUACGAAGGGUGCAAGCGUUAAUCGGAAUUACUGGGCGUAAAGCGUGCGUAGGCGGUUUGUUAAGUCUGCUGUGAAAUCCCCGGGCUCAACCUGGGAAUGGCAGUGGAUACUGGCAAGCUAGAGUGUGUCAGAGGAUGGUGGAAUUCCCGGUGUAGCGGUGAAAUGCGUAGAGAUCGGGAGGAACAUCAGUGGCGAAGGCGGCCAUCUGGGACAACACUGACGCUGAGGCACGAAAGCGUGGGGAGCAAACAGGAUUAGAUACCCGCGUAGUCCCUGUCUCUUAUAA